UAGCUUUGUCCUAAAUUAAACUUGUCUAACUUUGACCAAAUUUAUAGAAAAAUAUAAUAACAUCUACAAUGCCAAAUAAAUUGGCUAUCAAAACAUAUUUCAUGGUGGAUUCAAUUAAACUUAUUUGAUGUUGUUAAUGUUAUUAUGUUUAUCUAUAAACCCGGUCAAAGUUAGACAAGUUUGACUUAGGACAAAACUAA
Molecule: microRNA precursor, 200 nt
Filed under: Dichanthelium oligosanthes
Lineage: Eukaryota; Viridiplantae; Streptophyta; Magnoliopsida; Poales; Poaceae
Description: MIR1435 microRNA precursor family
Rfam family: MIR1435 microRNA precursor family
Source: Rfam by way of RNAcentral